AUUGAACGCUGGCGGAAUGCUUUACACAUGCAAGUCGAGCGGCAGCGCGGGGCAACCUGGCGGCGAGCGGCGAACGGGUGAGUAAUGCAUCGGAACAUGUCCAUGUCGUGGGGGAUAGCCCGGCGAAAGCCGGAUUAAUACCGCAUACGCCCGAGAGGGGAAAGUGGGGACCGCAAGGCCUCACGCGAUUGGGUUGGCCGAUGUCCGAUUAGCUAGUUGGCGGGGUAAGAGCCCACCAAGGCGAUGAUCGGUAGCUGGUCUGAGAGGAUGAUCAGCCACACUGGGACUGAGACACGGCCCAGACUCCUACGGGAGGCAGCAGUGGGGAAUUUGGACAAUGGGGGCAACCCUGAUCCAGCCAUUCCGCGUGAGUGAAGAAGGCC
RNAcentral lists this ribosomal RNA (383 nucleotides) under uncultured bacterium. Its description in RNAcentral is "bacterial SSU rRNA". It matches the Rfam family "Bacterial small subunit ribosomal RNA", at positions 29 to 416 of the family's 1533-position model. The record is from RNAcentral.